GGUCAUGUAAAUAUUUGCAUACCCUUAUGAAUGACCAAUCUAUACGAAUAUUCAUUAGAAGGGCAAACCAUAUCUGUUGAGCUAAUUACUACAGGACAAAAUACUAGCAUUCACUUUAAGCACCAUAAUUAAUUCAAAGAGAAAUCUCCAUUUUUUGCUGUUCUUUUCACUCAAUGCUACUUUUUUUGUUUUUCUAUUAAAUUCAAUUUCCAAUUACCAUAUGGCUUUUCAAAAAUUACAUCCACAAGUUAUGACCAAACCAAAUAUACUGAACCAGGAAGGAGCUCAAAGAAAUGGAAAUCAAUCAAAUCAAACAAAUUAAUCACAAAUUUACCAGCCUAGGGGAUUCACGAUAG
RNAcentral lists this unclassified non-coding RNA (356 nucleotides) under Hevea brasiliensis (rubber tree). The record is from RNAcentral. Lineage: Eukaryota; Viridiplantae; Streptophyta; Magnoliopsida; Malpighiales; Euphorbiaceae.